GCCUUCGUGGUGUAGUGGUGAUCACGCUCGACGCGUAACCGAGAGGUCCGUGGUUCGAUUCCCGGCGAAGGCG
RNAcentral lists this transfer RNA (73 nucleotides) under Stegodyphus mimosarum. It matches the Rfam family "tRNA". From Rfam's summary of the family: Transfer RNA (tRNA) molecules are approximately 80 nucleotides in length. Their secondary structure includes four short double-helical elements and three loops (D, anti-codon, and T loops). Further hydrogen bonds mediate the characteristic L-shaped molecular structure. tRNAs have two regions of fundamental functional importance: the anti-codon, which is responsible for specific mRNA codon recognition, and the 3' end, to which the tRNAs corresponding amino acid is attached (by aminoacyl-tRNA synthetases). tRNAs cope with the degeneracy of the genetic code in two manners: having more than one tRNA (with a specific anti-codon) for a particular amino acid; and 'wobble' base-pairing, i.e. permitting non-standard base-pairing at the 3rd anti-codon position. The record is from Rfam by way of RNAcentral. Lineage: Eukaryota; Metazoa; Arthropoda; Arachnida; Araneae; Eresidae.